Molecule: ribosomal RNA, 495 nt
Filed under: uncultured bacterium
Lineage: Bacteria
Description: partial 16S ribosomal RNA
Rfam family: Bacterial small subunit ribosomal RNA
Source: RNAcentral
GACGAACGCUGGCGGCGUGCCUAAUACAUGCAAGUAGAACGCUGAAGGAGGAGCUUGCUUCUCUGGAUGAGUUGCGAACGGGUGAGUAACGCGUAGGUAACCUGCCUGGUAGCGGGGGAUAACUAUUGGAAACGAUAGCUAAUACCGCAUAAUAGUAGAUGUUGCAUGACAUUUGCUUAAAAGGUGCAAUUGCAUCACUACCAGAUGGACCUGCGUUGUAUUAGCUAGUUGGUGGGGUAACGGCUCACCAAGGCGACGAUACAUAGCCGACCUGAGAGGGGGGUCGGCCACACUGGGACUGAGACACGGCCCAGACUCCUACGGGAGGCAGCAGGAGGGAAUCUUCGGCAAUGGACGGAAGUCUGACCGAGCAACGCCGCGUGAGUGAAGAAGGUUUUCGGAUCGUAAAGCUCUGUUGUAAGAGAAGAACGAGUGUGAGAGUGGAAAGUUCACACUGUGACGGUAUCUUACCAGAAAGGGACGGCUAACUACGUG